GCGAGUGAAGCGGUAAAAGCUCAAAUUUGAAAUCUGGUACUUUUAGUGCCCGAGUUGUAAUUUGUAGAAUUUGUCUUUGAUUUGGUCCUUGUCUAUGUUCCUUGGAACAGGACGUCAUAGAGGGUGAGAAUCCCGUUUGGCGAGGAUACCAUUUCUUUGUAAGACUUUUUCGAAGAGUCGAGUUGUUUGGGAAUGCAGCUCAAAGUGGGUGGUAAAUUCCAUCUAAAGCUAAAUAUUGGCGAGAGACCGAUAGCGAACAAGUACAGUGAUGGAAAGAUGAAAAGAACUUUGAAAAGAGAGUGAAAAAGUACGUGAAAUUGUUGAAAGGGAAGGGCAUUUGAUCAGACAUGGUGUUUUUUGCAUGCACUCGCCUCUUGUGGGCUUGGGCCUCUCAAAAAUUUCACUGGGCCAACAUCAGUUUUGGCGGUAGGAUAAAUCAUUAGGAACGUAGCUUCUUCGGGAGUGUUAUAGCCUAGUGGAAUACUAUCAGCCGGGACUGAGGACUGCGCUUUAUGCAAGGAUGUUGGCAUAAUGGUUAAAUGCCGCCC
Molecule: ribosomal RNA, 548 nt
Filed under: Hanseniaspora valbyensis
Lineage: Eukaryota; Fungi; Ascomycota; Saccharomycetes; Saccharomycodales; Saccharomycodaceae
Description: eukaryotic LSU rRNA
Rfam family: Eukaryotic large subunit ribosomal RNA
Source: RNAcentral